Molecule: ribosomal RNA, 253 nt
Filed under: uncultured bacterium
Lineage: Bacteria
Description: partial 16S ribosomal RNA
Rfam family: Bacterial small subunit ribosomal RNA
Source: RNAcentral
UACGGAGGGGGCUAGCGUUGUCCGGAUUUAUUGGGUUUAAAGGGUGCGUAGGCGGUCCUGUAAGUCAGUAGUGAAAUACGGCAGCUCAACUGUCGAGGUGCCAUUGAUACUGCUGGACUUGAGUACAGACGAGGUAGGCGGAAUUGACGGUGUAGCGGUGAAAUGCUUAGAUAUCGUCAAGAACACCGAUAGCGAAGGCAGCUUACUAGACUGUAACUGACGCUGAGGCACGAAGGUGCGGGGAUCAAACAGG